CGGGGUGUGGCGCAGCCCGGUAGCGCGCUUGCUUUGGGAGCAAGAUGUCGAGAGUUCGAAUCCCUCCACCCCGA
Molecule: transfer RNA, 74 nt
Filed under: Sulfuritalea hydrogenivorans sk43H
Lineage: Bacteria; Pseudomonadati; Pseudomonadota; Betaproteobacteria; Nitrosomonadales; Sterolibacteriaceae
Rfam family: tRNA
About the family: Transfer RNA (tRNA) molecules are approximately 80 nucleotides in length. Their secondary structure includes four short double-helical elements and three loops (D, anti-codon, and T loops).
Source: Rfam by way of RNAcentral